Molecule: RNA transcript, 2143 nt
Organism: Plodia interpunctella (Indianmeal moth)
Lineage: Eukaryota; Metazoa; Arthropoda; Insecta; Lepidoptera; Pyralidae
Gene: sand
Gene name: potassium channel subfamily K member 18-like
Exons: 11
Source: RefSeq, a predicted model, not a curated record
CGCUGCUUGUUAGUCGACUCCGAGGCUCCCUAAUGCCAGUGUCUAUUCCAAAUACUCCAACUUAUCAAUAGUGGAACAAUUCAAAACGUGUUCAUAACAAAAAGUGUACAUUUUGUAUAUUGGAGGCAAAGUGACAAAAAAUCUAGUACAGAAUACGAGUGAUUAAAAAUGUUUUUGCUAAAAUGGGAUUUUAUAGACAGUUUGUAAAACGACUGUGAAUUUGAGGAUAUCUGAAUGUAAGUGAUAGGUCGAGCGCUGGCAGCAUGGCGCGGCGAGUCCGUCGCGUCACGAUGACGUGACGAUGUCGCGACGGCGGCGCCCCCUCGCGUCCCGCGCCCGGGGCUUCGUGCGGCAACUACUCGCGUUCCUCUUCAGCAACGUCGGCGUCAUCGUGCUCGUCGUUGGGUAUACCAUUGCUGGUGCAUUCAUGUUCCAAGCUAUCGAGGGAGCGAGCGAAAUGGAGCGAGUGAACCUUAUGGCGGCAGAAAGGAACAGCACAGCGCACUAUUUGUGGCAGAACGUUACGUUGACGCUCAAUCUCUUCAAUGAAACUGCUUUAAAAGACAGAAUAAGUAUAGAACUUCAGCGGUACCAAGUGAAGGUAGUGUUCGCGGUGCGACGAGGCUGGGACGGCGGGCGCUCCUCGCGACAGUGGAGCUUCUCCGGCGCCUUCCUCUACUGCCUCACCGUCAUCACGACCAUAGGGUAUGGACACCUAUCCCCUCGCACCAGCUGGGGUAAGAUCAUCACCGUCCUCUACACGCUGCUGGGGAUGCCGCUGUUUCUGCUUUACCUGAGUAAUUUAGGGGAGCUUCUGGCGCAAUGGUGCAAGUGUCUGUACGCGCUGGUCUGUCUCUGCCGGGGCUGUCCAGGGUUCACCCGUCGGAGGGUCGCCAGGCUCAGAGCUCAGAUAGACAAUAAUAUAAGCGAGGCGGAGAGCAUCGAGCGACCUGAAGACUGGUCGUCGUCAGAAGUCAUGCAGUACCGGCCACACUCCGGACCACCGCACUUUCAAAGAAGACCAGAAUAUUUACGCAGCGUAUCAAUGCCACAACCGUAUGAUCACCAUUUGAACCAUAGAGAUAUUAGAUUCCCAAUAUACGACAGAGACAAUAGAAUAGAUCCCAGAAUAAGAAGUUACACUUUGGACCCCAGGGAUCCUAGAUUGAGAGGUCAUUCAAGGGACCCUAUAAUGGCGUAUGGAGAUCCCAGAUAUUUGAGAAAUUCGACAAUAGACCCUAGGUUUAGAGGUCGGAUACCACCUAGGGAUGUCAGAGAAGGUUGGGUAGAUCCAAGAUUGCUACAUACAAGGGAUCCUAGAUUGCGAUGUUGGCUUGACCCUAGGGACGAUAUGCUGAGGGACUUAGAUCCGAGGUUCAGGGGCUGGUCGGAGCCGCUGAGACGCGAGGCUGCGAGCUCCAGCGAGUUCAGCUACAUUACCUUCGACGCUCAAACUAUCACAGUACCCAUUAGUGUAUGCGUGUUUAUUAUGGUUGGAUACAUAAUAUUUGGCUCAAUGAUAUUUGGAUUAUGGGAAAAAUGGGACCAACUAGACGGAGCAUACUUUUGCUUCAUAUCGCUCAGUAGUAUCGGGUUCGGCGACAUCGUGCCGGGCGAGCGCGUAUACACGCCGCGCGUGGAGACCUCCUUCAUCGUGUGCUCACUGUACCUCAUGCUGGGCAUGGCGCUCGUGGCCAUGUGCUUCAACCUCAUGCAGGUAUAUCAUCAUCGUGUGCUCACUGUACCUCAUGCUGAGCAUGGAGCUCGUGGCCAUGUGCUUCAACCUCAUGCAGGUAUAUCAUCAUCGUGUGCUCACUGUACCUCAUGCUGAGCAUGGAGCUCGUGGCCAUGUGCUUCAACCUCAUGCAGGUAUAUCAUCAUCGUGUGCUCACUGUACCUCAUGCUGAGCAUGGAGCUCGUGGCCAUGUGCUUCAACCUCAUGCAGGUAUAUCAUCAUCGUGUGCUCACUGUACCUCAUGCUGAGCAUGGAGCUCGUGGCCAUGUGCUUCAACCUCAUGCAGGAGCAAGUAAUACAUUACGUGGCGGGCCUCAAGCGCGCUGCACGAAGAAUAUGUAGGUGCAAGAGAUGAUCAAUACAAUACAUACACUAAUUAUUGCAUUAAUAAAGACCAUUUUAAAAUAA